GAAGAACCAUUGUUUCUCUAUGAGGAGAUGCUCUCCACAUCUGACCCUCCAUUUUUCUUGCCUCUCCCCUAGGUUUAGAUCAUGAAUGAGCACUGCCAAGCUAUCCUGAAGUGCAAAGGCAGCACUGGUUCCUAGGAAGACAGCAAAAAGACAGAGUUUCACAUUACAAGAGCUCCCACAGGGGAGAACUCAUGAGCUGUUUUGGCUUUACAGUCAAGAGCAGUGAUUUCUUGGCAACCUCAUCAGCCCCACGUUCAUCUGGGUGGGCAGCUCUUGUGUAAUGAAUCAUCCAGUGUUUCAGACAGAGAUUCAACACGGUGUAAUAGCCUUCUCGUCCCUGACGGUUAAUCAG
Molecule: long non-coding RNA, 352 nt
Filed under: Anas platyrhynchos platyrhynchos (common mallard)
Lineage: Eukaryota; Metazoa; Chordata; Aves; Anseriformes; Anatidae
Description: lncRNA (ENSAPLG00000020386.1)
Source: RNAcentral